Long non-coding RNA from Ixodes scapularis (black-legged tick), 1662 nucleotides. RefSeq lists it as uncharacterized. The record is from RefSeq and is a predicted model, not a curated record. The transcript is spliced from 11 exons. Lineage: Eukaryota; Metazoa; Arthropoda; Arachnida; Ixodida; Ixodidae.
CAUUUGCAAGCAUAUGUUUGCUAGAGCUAGAGUGAAAUUUGUAGCUAUUAUUGCGUGAUAUUUGACAUUUGUAUGCAGAUUUUUUAUUUUUUUUUUAGUUUAAAUGCUCUUGGCGUUUUGUGUUUUGUUUUUAGCGUUGUCGGCUGUGCCGUUCUACCUUUUCCAGGUGCAUCCAAAGGAAAAUAAACCAAACCGGCUUGGCAUAAGAGGGAAAACAAUUUUUUUUAAACAUUUCUUUUCCUGUUAUGUCAAGGGGUUGUGCCUAUUUUUCUUGCGAUGUCUCCCAGUCUUUGGAAUAUUUUUUACAAUGUUUCUUCCGUGUUUUUUUCCGAACGUCGAACCUUAUCAAUUAUCAACUCUGCCGCUGAUGACGACGAAGUCGAACGACUUUAGUAUAGUAACGCUUCGAUGGCAUGACCAGGAGUGACGUUCAUGUCCGUCAAAACUUCAAAACUUGCCUGCUUAAAAAAAAAAAAAGUUUACAAGCGUUACAAGCACCACCAUGCUGCAUUGAACUACACGAGUACGCGCGCGCGCUCGUCAGGCAAGGGAAGCUGCAGUCGCAGGCUCGCCCUUGUAACCACUUCUGUGCCCAUAGUACUGUUUAGUUUUUCUUUCAGCAGGAUCAAUUCCUGUAUAAUACAAAGGGCACGCACUGUCAAUUCAGCUACUGAAGGAGCCUGAAGACAUGCUAACGUUCAAAUAAUCAAGGGUCGUCUUUGACGCGGCUAAGCAGGUGUUUAUCUAUCACGUGCCUUAAUUGCAGAUCAACGUUAAAAUCGUAAAAAUAACAAAACUAUUGUGACUAAACUACUAAACUUCUCGUGUAUAUGUGACAGGGACCUCGUUAAUUUUGGCAAGCUGAAAUAACUAAAUUAACCAUAAUUUAAUAACACAAUCUGGACCCGUGAAGAUUCUCGGCCAUGUAGAGUCAGACGAGUCGGACAACUACAAGAACAAAAUAAACGAGCGCACUUAUCAAUCCACUAGCCAAGCUAAGCCAACCUGAAAACAUAAAAAGCUCUGCCGGUGUAAAAAAAUUCCUAAUUUCUUCGCAUCUCGGCGUCGUCGGUCGCAGUUACUCGUUCAAUUCCGAGUUGCUUUGUUGAGUUCGCAAGUGACCAUUUUUAUACCAAAGCUUGUAAUCGGUUUUGCAGUUCGUUUUGUGACUUGACGCUUGUUUGUUUAGUGAAGCCAAGAAAGAGCGAUGGCGAAGGUGUACCGGGGAUCGUCGCAUCGCAGCUCUUGCACGUGCCUCGAGCUUGACCGGACCUACAAGCGAUUUGCUGAAGAGUUUGGAUGAAUUGGGGAUGCACUUUUCUUGCUACAGUGCGAUCUCUGAGCCAUACUUCAGCCUGCAUGGAAACUGCUGCCAGACCUGCAUCACUUGCAUAACCAGGUACUUUCCAAUCGUCUGGCUCGGAUAAUGUUGGACUCUGAUUCCAGUAAGGAAAGCUCCAAAGUUUGGGAGCUGCCUCUGCAAUGGUAUUAGGUUUCCUGUCCCCUGUGCUUUAAGCAAGGAUUGGAUCACGGCCAAGUGUGGCCAGGUAUGAGGCUCCCAUAAAGAACCCAGAGACUAAGGUCCGUUGCAACUGCUGUUCUUUUUCAUGCCAGAGUUCUUCCCUCAAGCUGGUUCACUGAAUAAAAUUAUUUUCUAUUGAC